RNAcentral lists this ribosomal RNA (465 nucleotides) under uncultured bacterium. Its description in RNAcentral is "partial 16S ribosomal RNA". It matches the Rfam family "Bacterial small subunit ribosomal RNA", at positions 28 to 507 of the family's 1533-position model. The record is from RNAcentral.
GACGAACGCUGGCGGCGUGCUUAACACAUGCAAGUCGAACGGAAAGGCCCUGCUUGCAGGGUACUCGAGUGGCGAACGGGUGAGUAACACGUGGGUGAUCUGCCCUGCACUUCGGGAUAAGCCUGGGAAACUGGGUCUAAUACCGGAUAGGAGCCAUUUUUAUUGUUAUGGUUGGAAAGUUUUUUCGGUGUAGGAUGAGCUCGCGGCCUAUCAGCUUGUUGGUGGGGUAAUGGCCUACCAAGGCGGCGACGGGUAGCCGGCCUGCGAGGGUGGACGGCCACAUUGGGACUGAGAUACGGCCCAGACUCCUACGGGAGGCAGCAGUGGGGAAUAUUGCACAAUGGGCGCAAGCCUGAUGCAGCGACGCCGCGUGGGGGAUGACGGCCUUCGGGUUGUAAACUCCUUUUGCUAGGGACGAAGCUUUUUGUGACGGUACCUAGAUAAGAAGCACCGGCUAACUACGUG